Molecule: ribosomal RNA, 774 nt
Filed under: uncultured Neocallimastigales
Lineage: Eukaryota; Fungi; Neocallimastigomycota; Neocallimastigomycetes; Neocallimastigales
Description: partial large subunit ribosomal RNA
Rfam family: Eukaryotic large subunit ribosomal RNA
Source: RNAcentral
ACUAGAGUAGCACUCGCAUAUCAAUAAGCGGAGGAAAAGAAACUAACAAGGAUUCCCCUAGUAACGGCGAGUGAAGCGGGAAGAGCUCAAAUUUGAAAUCUUAAAGGGUUUCCCUUUACGAAUUGUAGUUUAAAGAAGUGUUUUCUGUUGAGGUUUUGGUAAAAGUUCUUUGGAAUAGGACAUCAUAGAGGGUGAGAAUCCCGUAUUUGACCUUUACUUUCAACUUUGUGAUACACUUUCAAAGAGUCGGAUUGUUUGGGAAUGCAGUCCAAAAUGGGUGGUAAAUUUCAUCUAAAGCUAAAUAUUGGCGAGAGACCGAUAGCGAACAAGUACCGUGAGGGAAAGAUGAAAAGAACUUUGAAAAGAGAGUUAAACAGUACGUGAAAUUGUCAAAAGGGAAGCGUUAGACACCAGUGUUGUUUUUCUGAAAAUCAAUUAAAGAACUGUUUAUGCUAAGUUGUUUAGACUUUAUCAGCUAACUGUUUAGUUUUGAGCUUUUCUUUAAUGCACUUUUCAGUUAACAAGUCAACAUCAAUUUCUUUUGCUGUAAAAAAGCUUGAGGAAGGUGGCUUGAGAGUUCGUCUUAAGUGUUUAUAGCCUCUUGCCUAUGCAGUCGGAGAGAUUGAGGUCUGCAGCGUAGAUCCUUCGGGGCUAAAUGCAUUUGUGCUAAGUUAUAGCAUUUUAUAGACAACUUGUUGACUAUGAUUUGUCUUGUAGCUUACUCGCUUAUGUUAUUUUACCUACGCUUAGGAUGUUGAGCGCAUGUCUCUCUCU